CCAAGUUUUUAAGGGCGCACGGUGGAUGCCUUGGCACCAGGAACCGAUGAAGGACGUGGGAGGCCACGAUAGUCCCCGGGGAGUCGUCAACCAGGCUUUGAUCCGGGGGUUUCCGAAUGGGGAAACCCGGCAGUCGUCAUGGGCUGUCACCCGCUGCUGAACACAUAGGCAGUGUGGAGGGAACGCGGGGAAGUGAAACAUCUCAGUACCCGCAGGAAGAGAAAACAACCGUGAUUCCGGGAGUAGUGGCGAGCGAAACCGGAUGAGGCCAAACCGUAUGCGUGUGAGACCCGGCAGGGGUUGCGUAUACGGGGUUGUGGGAUCUCUCUUCCACGGUCUGCCGGCCGUGGGACGAGUCAGAAACCGUUGAUGUAGGCGAAGGACAUGCGAAAGGUCCGGCGUAGAGGGUAAGACCCCCGUAGUCGAAACAUCAGCGGCUCGUUUGAGAGACACCCAAGUAGCACGGGGCCCGAGAAAUCCCGUGUGAAUCUGGCGGGACCACCCGCUAAGCCUAAAUAUUCCCUGGUGACCGAUAGCGGAUAGUACCGUGAGGGAAUGGUGAAAAGUACCGCGGGAGCGGAGUGAAAUAGUACCUGAAACCGUGUGCCUACAAGCCGUGGGAGCGUCGGAAUGUGCUUGCACAUUCUCGUGACUGCGUGCCUUUUGAAGAAUGAGCCUGCGAGUUUGCGGUGUGUUGCGAGGUUAACCCGGGUGGGGUAGCCGUAGCGAAAGCGAGUCCGAACAGGGCGUUUCAGUAGCACGCUCAAGACCCGAAGCGGAGUGAUCUAGCCAUGGGCAGGUUGAAGCGGAGGUAAGACUUCGUGGAGGACCGAACCCACCAGGGUUGAAAACCUGGGGGAUGACCUGUGGUUAGGGGUGAAAGGCCAAUCAAACUCCGUGAUAGCUGGUUCUCCCCGAAAUGCAUUUAGGUGCAGCGUCGUGUGUUUCUUGCCGGAGGUAGAGCACUGGAUAGGCGAUGGGCCCUACCGGGUUACUGACCUUAGCCAAACUCCGAAUGCCGGUAAGUGAGAGCGCGGCAGUGAGACUGUGGGGGAUAAGCUCCAUGGUCGAGAGGGAAACAGCCCAGAGCAUCGACUAAGGCCCCUAAGCGUACGCUAAGUGGGAAAGGAUGUGGAGUCGCAGAGACAACCAGGAGGUUGGCUUAGAAGCAGCCACCCUUGAAAGAGUGCGUAAUAGCUCACUGGUCUAGUGAUUCCGCGCCGACAAUGUAGCGGGGCUCAAGCGUACCGCCGAAGUCGUGUCAUUGCAGCAUAAAGCCCCAACGGGUGCUGUGAUGGGUAGGGGAGCGUCGUGUGCCGGGUGAAGCAGCACCGGAAGGUAGUUGUGGACGGUUCACGAGUGAGAAUGCAGGCAUGAGUAGCGAUUCACACGUGAGAAACGUGUGCGCCGAUUGACUAAGGGUUCCUGGGUCAAGCUGAUCUGCCCAGGGUAAGUCGGGACCUAAGGCGAGGCCGACAGGCGUAGUCGAUGGAUAACCGGUUGAUAUUCCGGUACCCGCUGUGAAGCGUCAAACAUUGAACCAGGCGAUGCUAAGUCCGUGAAGCCGCCCCGGAGCCUUCGGGCAAGGGGGAGUGGUGGAGCCGACGGACCAGACCUGUAGUAGGUGAGUGAUGGGGUGACGCAGGAAGGUAGUCCAGCCCGGGCGGUGGUUGUCCCGGGGUAAGGGUGUAGGGCGAACGGUAGGCAAAUCCGCCGUUCAUGGAGCCUGAGACCUGAUGCCGAGCCGAUUGUGGUGAAGUGGAUGAUCCUAUGCUGUCGAGAAAAGCCUCUAGCGAGUUUCAUGGCGGCCCGUACCCUAAACCGACUCAGGUGGUCAGGUAGAGAAUACCGAGGCGUUCGGGUGAACUAUGGUUAAGGAACUCGGCAAAAUGCCCCCGUAACUUCGGGAGAAGGGGGGCCACGCCUGGUGAGGGGACUUGCUCUCCGAGCUGGGGGUGGCCGCAGAGACCAGCGAGAAGCGACUGUUUACUAAAAACACAGGUCCGUGCGAAGCCGUAAGGCGAUGUAUACGGACUGACGCCUGCCCGGUGCUGGAACGUUAAGGGGACCGGUUAGUCACAUUUCGGUGUGGCGAAGCUGAGAACUUAAGCGCCAGUAAACGGCGGUGGUAACUAUAACCAUCCUAAGGUAGCGAAAUUCCUUGUCGGGUAAGUUCCGACCUGCACGAAUGGCGUAACGACUUCUCGACUGUCUCAACCAUAGGCCCGGUGAAAUUGCACUACGAGUAAAGAUGCUCGUUUCGCGCAGCAGGACGGAAAGACCCCGGGACCUUUACUACAGUUUGAUAUUGGUGUUCGGUUCGGCUUGUGUAGGAUAGGUGGGAGACUGUGAAGCUUGGACGCCAGUUCAGGUGGAGUCGUCGUUGAAAUACCACUCUGGUCGUGCUGGAUGUCUAACCUGGGUCCGUGAUCCGGAUCAGGGACAGUGUCUGAUGGGUAGUUUAACUGGGGCGGUUGCCUCCUAAAGAGUAACGGAGGCGCCCAAAGGUUCCCUCAGCCUGGUUGGCAAUCAGGUGUUGAGUGUAAGUGCACAAGGGAGCUUGACUGUGAGACCGACGGGUCGAGCAGGGACGAAAGUCGGGACUAGUGAUCCGGCGGUGGCUUGUGGAAGCGCCGUCGCUCAACGGAUAAAAGGUACCCCGGGGAUAACAGGCUGAUCUUCCCCAAGAGUCCAUAUCGACGGGAUGGUUUGGCACCUCGAUGUCGGCUCGUCGCAUCCUGGGGCUGGAGUCGGUCCCAAGGGUUGGGCUGUUCGCCCAUUAAAGCGGUACGCGAGCUGGGUUUAGAACGUCGUGAGACAGUUCGGUCCCUAUCCGCUGUGCGCGUAGGAGUCUUGAGAAGGGCUGUCCCUAGUACGAGAGGACCGGGACGGACGAACCUCUGGUGUGCCAGUUGUUCUGCCAAGGGCAUGGCUGGUUGGCUACGUUCGGGAGGGAUAACCGCUGAAAGCAUCUAAGCGGGAAGCCUGCUUCGAGAUGAGGACUCCCACCCACUUGAUGGGGUAAGGCUCCCAGUAGACGACUGGGUUGAUAGGCCGGAUCUGGAAGCACAGUAAUGUGUGGAGGUGACCGGUACUAAUAGGCCGAGGGCUUGUCCUC
RNAcentral lists this ribosomal RNA (3118 nucleotides) under Streptomyces griseoruber. Its description in RNAcentral is "bacterial LSU rRNA". It matches the Rfam family "Bacterial large subunit ribosomal RNA". Lineage: Bacteria; Bacillati; Actinomycetota; Actinomycetes; Kitasatosporales; Streptomycetaceae. The record is from RNAcentral.